CGGAGAAUGCAGUGGGAUCAGAACCCUAGAGUGGGCAUGAAGAGGAGAAAAAACAAAUUCUGAAAUCACCAUGGAAACACUACAGAGAUAACCUUCAUAUUCUGGGCAUCAGCACAAUCCUCCAAAUCCCUUUUGAAAACAAAUGCAUCCUUAUUGCUACGGCAGCCACUUAAUCUAGACACAAAUACAGCUAUAUUAGGUGCACUGUAAUGAAAAGUGAGGAAAGGAGAGUAGAGGAGGAGGAGGAGAGAUAAAAUAUUUUAGAGAACAUUUAUAAACAUUCCUUGUAAAGUUGAUAAACAAUCUUUGAAAGACACAGAAUCCAAAAUACAUACGAAGAUUAUGUGGAUUACAAAAGAAAGCACUGCUCAACUUGACCCUAUCAGCUUUACCUGACUUCCUGGGAGGUACAGAACAAGGUACGUAUGGGGAUCCAGCAAUUCUGAAGACUACGCCAUGCCUCCAACAGAGGGCUUCUUGGGUUGAAAGUGUGUGGGUAACAUUUACCAUAACAAUAACUACCACAACUACAGCUAAUAAAUGCACUUAAGCAGA
RNAcentral lists this long non-coding RNA (555 nucleotides) under Homo sapiens (human). RNAcentral's name for it is "HSALNT0339386". The record is from RNAcentral. Lineage: Eukaryota; Metazoa; Chordata; Mammalia; Primates; Hominidae.